UCCGAGUGAUUCCUGCUAAAGGAAUCUUUUGUUAGUCAUAAAACCACUGAUGAAUAAGGGGUGGGCAAGUUCUGGUGUCAGCCGCCGCGGUAAUACCAGCACCUCGAGUGGUCAGGAGGUUUAUUGGGCCUAAAGCAUCCGUAGCCGGCUGUUCAAGUUUCCGGUUAAAUCCACACGCUUAACGUAUGGACUGCCGGAAAUACUGUUCAGCUAGGGAGUGGGAGAGGUAGACGGUACUCGAUAGGUAGGGGUAAAAUCCUUUGAUCUAUUGAUGACCACCUGUGGCGAAGGCGGUCUACCAGAACACGUUCGACGGUGAGGGAUGAAAGCUGGGGGAGCAAACCGGAUUAGAUACCCGGGUAGUCCCAGCUGUAAACGAUGCAGACUCGGUGAUGCAUUGGCUUGUGGCCAGUGCAGUGCCGCAGGGAAGCCGUUAAGUUUGCCGCCUGGGAAGUACGUACGCAAGCAUGAAACUUAAAGGAAUUGGCGGGGGAGCACCACAAGGGGUGAAGCCUGCGGUUCAAUUGGAGUCAACGCCAGAAAUCUUACCCGGGGAGACAGCAGAAUGAAGGUCAAGCUGAAGACUUUACCAGACAAGCUGAGAGGUGGUGCAUGGCCGUCGCCAGCUCGUGCCGUGAGGUGUCCUGUUAAGUCAGGUAACGAGCGAGACCCUUGCCUCUAGUUGC
Molecule: ribosomal RNA, 686 nt
Filed under: uncultured archaeon
Lineage: Archaea
Description: bacterial SSU rRNA
Rfam family: Archaeal small subunit ribosomal RNA
Source: RNAcentral